AAAGACCGCAAUUUUGUACUAUUUAUGUCCAACAAUUGACCGUCCGUCGUAUUUGAAAAAUUUUUAUGAUUAGUAUUUUUUAUUGUUAUUAGAUGAUAAAACAUAAAUAGUGCUUUAUGUGUAACUAAUAUUAUUUUUAAUUUUUCAUAAAUUUUUUAAAUAAGACGGAUGAUAAAACGUUAGACAUGAAAACCCACAACUGCACUAAAA
This is a microRNA precursor of Oryza rufipogon (brownbeard rice), 210 nucleotides long. It matches the Rfam family "MIR812 microRNA precursor family". The record is from Rfam. Lineage: Eukaryota; Viridiplantae; Streptophyta; Magnoliopsida; Poales; Poaceae.